GAUGAACGCUAGCGGCAGGCUUAAUACAUGCAAGACGAACGGUAACUGUUGUAGCAAUACAACAGCAAGAGUGUCGUACGGGUGCGUAACACGUAUGCAACCUACCUUGUACAGGAGGAUAGCUUGGGGAAACUCGAAUUAACCCUCCAUAAUAUCAUGAGAUGGCAUCAUUUUAUGAUUAAAACUGAGGUGGUACAAGAUGGGCAUGCGAUGAUUAGUUAGUUGGCAGUGUAACGGACUACCAAGACGAUGAUCAAUAGGGGACCUGAGAGGGUGAUCCCCCA
RNAcentral lists this ribosomal RNA (284 nucleotides) under uncultured bacterium. Its description in RNAcentral is "partial 16S ribosomal RNA". It matches the Rfam family "Bacterial small subunit ribosomal RNA", at positions 28 to 310 of the family's 1533-position model. The record is from RNAcentral.